AAUUGACCUGGGCGAAGCCUGACCGCAAUGCCGCGUGCAGGAAGAAGGCCUUCGGGUUGUAAACUGCUUUUGUACGGAACGAAACGGUCUGCCCUAAUACGGCGGGCUAAUGACGGUACCGUAAGAAUAAGCACCGGCUAACUACGUGCCAGCAGCCGCGGUAAUACGUAGGGUGCGAGCGUUAAUCGGAAUUACUGGGCGUAAAGCGUGCGCAGGCGGUUAUGUAAGACAGUUGUGAAAUCCCCGGGCUCAACCUGGGAAUUGCAUCUGUGACUGCAUAGCUAGAGUACGGUAGAGGGGGAUGGAAUUCCGCGUGUAGCAGUGAAAGGCGUGGAUAUGCGGAGGAACACCGAUGGCGAAGGCAAUCCCCUGGACCUGUACUGACGCUCAUGCACGAAAG
This 400-nucleotide ribosomal RNA is filed under the name uncultured bacterium. Its description in RNAcentral is "bacterial SSU rRNA". It matches the Rfam family "Bacterial small subunit ribosomal RNA", at positions 359 to 759 of the family's 1533-position model. The record is from RNAcentral.